CAGUCGCCGCGGUAAUACGUAGGGUGCAAGCGUUAAUCGGAAUUACUGGGCGUAAAGCGUGCGCAGGCGGUUUGUUAAGACAGAUGUGAAAUCCCCGGGCUCAACCUGGGAACUGCAUUUGUGACUGGCAAGCUAGAGUCUGGCAGAGGGGGGUGGAAUUCCGCGUGUAGCAGUGAAAUGCGUAGAUAUGCGGAGGAACACCGAUGGCGAAGGCAGCCCCCUGGGCCAACACUGACGCUCAUGCACGAAAGCGUGGGGAGCAAACAGGAUUAGAUACCCGGGUAGUCCCUGUCUCUUAUAU
RNAcentral lists this ribosomal RNA (301 nucleotides) under uncultured bacterium. Its description in RNAcentral is "partial 16S ribosomal RNA". It matches the Rfam family "Bacterial small subunit ribosomal RNA", at positions 509 to 809 of the family's 1533-position model. The record is from RNAcentral.